This is a long non-coding RNA of Nicotiana attenuata, 724 nucleotides long. RefSeq lists it as uncharacterized. NCBI's taxonomy places the organism in Eukaryota, Viridiplantae, Streptophyta, Magnoliopsida, Solanales, Solanaceae. The record is from RefSeq and is a predicted model, not a curated record. The transcript has 2 exons.
GACCCACCCCCUAACCCCAAAAUCCCCCUCAUUCUCUUCAUCUCUCUCAAAGCCCUAACCAUAGCCGCCCCCAAAUUCCCACAGACCCCCACCGGCGGCCGCCAUCCUAGCCCCGCCAAAAGAGCCCCAAUCUUCCCCAAAUCGACACCCUAUACUCCUCAACCUCCCUUCAUCAUCAAGCUAUUGUCAUCUUCCCCAAAUCCCCACCGACUGUUCUCAAAUUCGGAUCUAAAAAAAAACAGAAAAAUCCUAUAUCUUUCUUCUCUAAUUUUUGGCUUGAAACUUAUGCUAAUCGAUUGUUUUUGGCAAGAACAAUCGAUUAGUGUUACUUUCGGAUCAUUUCGGAGGGAUUCAGACUCCAUGAUUGGCCAAAUAUUUUGUCAAAAGGUUCUUCUUGCUGUAUUUAGUGAUGUGCUUAACAUGAGAGAAUGGAGGUUCGAAAAGCAUGAACAAUUACAGGCCAAAGUUUGGAUUUCAUGUGUUGAAAUACAGCUUUAAUUUCAGAAAGAAGAAGUUUAGUGUGUAGAAGUUAACUUUAUUGUAAAAGCGAGGUUAGGAUCCACGUUUGUGAUGCAAUAGAAUGCCUAGUGCUUUUUUGUAACUCAGUAAUUGUAUCAUUCACGUUAGGUUUUCACUGUAAUGUAAAAUUAUUAACUCUUUAGUUAUGUAUUCCAUGAAAAUUGGCAGAAGUAUCUAGUCAUAAUAAGAUUCAUGUUAUUAUUAA